AGACGUCUACAUUAGAUACCCGGGUAGUCCCAGCCGUAAACUAUGCGCGUUAGGUGUACUGGUGACCACGAGUCACCGGGGUGCCGAAGGGAAACCGUGAAACGUGCCGCCUGGGAAGUACGGUCGCAAGGCUGAAACUUAAAGGAAUUGGCGGGGAGCACCACAACGGGUGGAGCCUGCGGUUUAAUUGGACUCAACGCCGGGAAGCUCACCGGAUAAGACAGCGGAAUGAUUGCCGGGCUGAAGACUCUGCAUGACUAGCUG
RNAcentral lists this ribosomal RNA (264 nucleotides) under uncultured archaeon. RNAcentral describes it as "partial 16S ribosomal RNA". It matches the Rfam family "Archaeal small subunit ribosomal RNA", at positions 717 to 982 of the family's 1478-position model. The record is from RNAcentral.